UGAUUUCAUAGUAGUAACAUCUGAAUUUGGCUACCGUAAGCACAGGGUUUGUAGCCUACCUGGUUCUGGUGAAGUGGAUUGCAGAUGUAAAGACUCCUCUUCAAUGGGAGUGUCUGUGUGACCCUCAGGAUCUGAGCUGUGAGGUUUGUCAGUGUCCCAAUGCUACUGCUGUCUGCGAUGACCAUAGCCUGGGACAGGAGACUGGAGGAGGGGAACUUGGGCUAAUGUGAGACUGGAGCUGCUGUGCUAUUGGCUGCUGAGGUGAGGCUUGAAGCUGCUGCUGAAACGAGAUUGGCUGAAGGGUAGUAAACCCUCCCCCCAUGUUGUUGAUGACAGGGACCGUCUGUGGUUGAGAGGACGUCAAACCUACAUGAGGAGUCUCCCAGACUCAUUACACUUGGUAGGGAGGCCAUGAUCAGUCCUGGAGGGCCAGCGGAGGAUCCGGACACUCCGUGCAGGGAAGUGAGAGUACUGACAGGAGAACAAAUAAAUUUUUACAGGCUUGGAUGACAUGAGGGAGUGUAUGACUGGGUUCUAGCUGAACUGGACUGGCUAGACGACCGCUGCCAGCCCUGUCUUCACCACUGGAGCUUCUCAUUGUGCCCAAACUCUCACACAGCACUGACUGGCUGUACUUCAGAACUUCAGUGAAUGAACAAAAGAGAAAGCCUGGAACAGGAUUUGCUGGGAGGCGGGACCCCAUUUGAAUCGAUUUCUCCGUCCCUUUCUCACAUCCUCCCCGGAUUCCUCUCCUGACAUGACACCUCGACUGGCAUUGGUGAAUUCUGCAUUUAUUAGUCUGUACAGGGCGGCACGCUUUUGAUUCUUCAUGGGUGUGCCCUUGUUGAGGUGCUGGGAGAGAUGGGAUUGGUUGAGGCCGGUGGACUCCACCACCUCUCUCUGUGUGGUACCCCACUUGACAACAGCGAUACACCCGUCUAACGAAUCUGAAGAGGGCUUGUUCUGGGAAAACAGCACGACGUGGACCAUCACUCAUCGUCGAUAAUAUCUUCAGACGGUACAUCUGGCCCCAGU
This is a long non-coding RNA of Megalobrama amblycephala (Wuchang bream), 1035 nucleotides long. RefSeq lists it as uncharacterized. Lineage: Eukaryota; Metazoa; Chordata; Actinopteri; Cypriniformes; Xenocyprididae. The transcript has 9 exons. The record is from RefSeq and is a predicted model, not a curated record.